CGGGUAUGGUUCAGUGGUAGAACACGACCUUCCCAAGGUUGAGGCACGGGUUCAAUUCCCGUUACCC
RNAcentral lists this transfer RNA (67 nucleotides) under marine eukaryotic metagenome. It matches the Rfam family "tRNA". Rfam says of the family: Transfer RNA (tRNA) molecules are approximately 80 nucleotides in length. Their secondary structure includes four short double-helical elements and three loops (D, anti-codon, and T loops). The record is from RNAcentral.